This 253-nucleotide ribosomal RNA is filed under the name uncultured bacterium. Its description in RNAcentral is "partial 16S ribosomal RNA". It matches the Rfam family "Bacterial small subunit ribosomal RNA", at positions 524 to 776 of the family's 1533-position model. The record is from RNAcentral.
UACGGAGGGUGCGAGCGUUAAUCGGAAUUACUGGGCGUAAAGCGCACGUAGGCGGCCUGUUAAGCUGGAUGUGAAAGCCCCGGGCUCAACCUGGGAAUUGCACCCAGAACUGGCAGGCUAGAGUACGGUAGAGGUGAGUGGAAUUUCCUGUGUAGCGGUGAAAUGCGUAGAUAUAGGAAGGAACAUCAGUGGCGAAGGCGACUCACUGGACUGAUACUGACGCUGAGGUGCGAAAGCGUGGGGAGCAAACAGG